RNAcentral lists this transfer RNA (344 nucleotides) under Helianthus annuus (common sunflower). RNAcentral's name for it is "hypothetical non coding rna". The stretch from base 2 to 75 matches the Rfam family "tRNA". Lineage: Eukaryota; Viridiplantae; Streptophyta; Magnoliopsida; Asterales; Asteraceae. The record is from RNAcentral.
UGCUUUCAUAGCUCAGAUGGUUAGAGCACCCGUUUAGUAAGCGGGAGGUCUUGAGUUCGAAUCUCAAUGAAAGCAUUUUUUUAUGAUCUUUUUUUAAUCUCGGAGACGAUAAUUAUUUGUAAUAUUAUGGCUAGAAAUGUAAUCAUCUUGUAAGGCUAUUUUAGACACCAUAUGCAACCGCAUUGUUUGUAGUGCACCCUUAUCCAUUUCUUGAGGUGGAACCAUAAUUUGGUAAAAUAAAAAUGGAAUGUAGGGAAGUAAGUCAACUUGCUUUCAUAGCUCAGUUGGUUAGAGCACCCGUUUAGUAAGCGGGAGGUCUUGAGUUCGACUCUCAAUGAAAGCAC